Molecule: long non-coding RNA, 533 nt
Organism: Mus musculus (house mouse)
Lineage: Eukaryota; Metazoa; Chordata; Mammalia; Rodentia; Muridae
Product: predicted gene, 54126
Exons: 2
Source: RefSeq, a predicted model, not a curated record
CUGGGACAUGAAGGUGGUCUAUGCAGGGCACCAGCUUUGUGCUUUGAAGAGUUAACUUUCAACCAGUGUAGCAGAAGUACUUCCCCAAGUCAUCAGCCACAUCUGCCUGGGGUGAUAAAUCCUGAAGAAGAGGACCAGAAGGAUAAAUGGCCCUUACUAGUUCCGCCCCUGUCUCUCUAGUGGGCUCUGUCUUGUCUUUGUGUACCUACUUGUAAGUUUAGUUCUUUAACUUUUUAUUGAUUCUUUUGUUAAUUUCACAUCAUGCACCUGAAUCCUAUUCAUCUCCCUGUCUCUAUAUCCACCCUCUGCCCUAGCAUCCUCUCCGCAAAAGAAAACAAAUGAGCAAACAGAACACCUCGCUGUGGAAGCUGUGCUGUGUCACGCUCUCCACCACUGAUCUGCUCAUUUUAAUGGUACCCAGGGCCUCUGGGGGGGUCUGGGUCCUCUCAGGCAGGCUCUGCUCACCCAGCCUUGUGGCACUGAGUAGUGGUCUUCUCCAUAUUUAAUAUUACUUUUGCCUGACAUAUGAGUAC